GAGUGCAUAAAGUGGCGCACGGGUGAGUAACACGUAGGUAAUCUACCCUCGGGUGGGGAAUAACAUCGGGAAACCGAUGCUAAUACCGCAUAAUGCAGCGGCACCGCAAGGUGACAGUUGUUAAAGAUUUAUUGCCUGGGGAGGAGCUUGCGGCAGAUUAGCUAGUUGGUAAGGUAACGGCUUACCAAGGCUACGAUCUGUAUCCGGUCUAAGAGGACGGUCGGACACACUGACACUGAAUAACGGGUCAGACUCCUACGGGAGGCAGCAGUCGGGAAUUUUGGGCAAUGGGGGAAACCCUGACCCAGCAACGCCGCGUGAAGGAUGAAGUAUUUCGGUAUGUAAACUUCGAAAGAAUGGGAAGAAUUAAUGACGGUACCAUUUAUAAGGUCCGGCUAACUACGUGCCAGCAGCCGCGGUAAUACGUAGGGACCAAGCGUUG
Molecule: ribosomal RNA, 442 nt
Filed under: uncultured bacterium
Lineage: Bacteria
Description: bacterial SSU rRNA
Rfam family: Bacterial small subunit ribosomal RNA
Source: RNAcentral